Long non-coding RNA from Passer montanus (Eurasian tree sparrow), 1057 nucleotides. RefSeq lists it as uncharacterized. The record is from RefSeq and is a predicted model, not a curated record. NCBI's taxonomy places the organism in Eukaryota, Metazoa, Chordata, Aves, Passeriformes, Passeridae. The transcript has 2 exons.
GUGUUCUCUUUUCUUUGUCUGCAGCUGAGUCUGGCUUUCCCAAUAAUAUUCUGUAUAUGCACAAUAUUUCUGGUGGUAGUGCCACUCUAUAGUGACUUUAUAAAUUCAGUGAUUGGAAUUGCUAUUGCUUUAUCUGGAAUUCCAUUCUUUUUCUUGGGAGUCUAUUUACCUGCAUCAAGGAGACCUCGAUUUGUUAACAAGAUUAUGGGUGCUGUCACACGAAACAUUCAGCUGCUCUGUUACUGUGUUUUAACAGAGGUGGACCCAAAUGACGAAAAGAAACCAGAAAUCAAAUCCAAGUAAAGUUUAAAGCCAUUACAGGAAGCAGGAGGGAGUAUAAAGCAAUUACACAAAUGAAAGGGAAGAGCUGGAACUGGAAGACACAGAAAAACUGUUUUCAGUGGUCUUUCAGAAAUGCUGAAAGUGUUCUUACUUGCAGAUGGAUUCCAACGUGGAUCAUGCCCUUGUGCCAUCCUCCUAAACUGUGGCAUGUUUUCAGGGCAGGUUUUCAUUGGAUAAUGAUUACCUACUCAUUACCUACUCACACAAGCUGUGUGUCAAUACUGUUUCUUCUUCAGAAUUGGUAUGAAAAUGGUAAGAGCUAAUGGAUCAAAUUAGAUUUCUGCAGAACCAGGUGGUGAAGUAAUGCAUUAUUACGUCAGACUGAAACCCACUUUGACUCCAAAGACUAAGUCAUUUCCAGCUUAAUUCUGAUGGAUGCUUGCAUGAAAUGAUUUGCUGUACUAUCUCAGUUAUUUUCCCAGAAGAAAACUGGUCACAACAAACUACUUCAUUUGUUUUUCUGCCCCUAAUGAUAAAUUAAGUUCUGCUCCAUUAUUUAUAGACUGAAACAACCUUUCUCCCCUUAAAGAUUUUAUUCUCUAUGCUACAUGGAAAUGUAUCUGACUGUGGGAAGGAUUUAAUCAGCUAAGCACCUUGCCACUGAAGAUUUGAUUAAUGGUUGAUUUUUUUCUUGUUUACUUGUUAGUACUUUGUAAAUUACUGUUAGGUUUUACGGAACUUCCAAAAUUAAAACAUUCAGUUUGAAGCCUGUAAA